UAUAACGACUCUCGGCAACGGAUAUCUCGGCUCUCGCAUCGAUGAAGAACGUAGCGAAAUGCGAUACUUGGUGUGAAUUGCAGAAUCCCGUGAACCAUCGAGUCUUUGAACGCAAGUUGCGCCCCAAGCUGUUAGGCUGAGGGCACGUCUGCCUGGGUGUCACG
This 164-nucleotide ribosomal RNA is filed under the name Cyanothamnus baeckeaceus subsp. patulus. Its description in RNAcentral is "5.8S ribosomal RNA". It matches the Rfam family "5.8S ribosomal RNA". From Rfam's summary of the family: 5.8S ribosomal RNA (5.8S rRNA) is a component of the large subunit of the eukaryotic ribosome. The record is from RNAcentral. Lineage: Eukaryota; Viridiplantae; Streptophyta; Magnoliopsida; Sapindales; Rutaceae.